This 2815-nucleotide ribosomal RNA is filed under the name Leadbetterella sp. RNAcentral's name for it is "23S ribosomal RNA". It matches the Rfam family "Bacterial large subunit ribosomal RNA". Lineage: Bacteria; Pseudomonadati; Bacteroidota; Cytophagia; Cytophagales; Leadbetterellaceae. The record is from RNAcentral.
UAAAGAGCAAGAGAAGGGCGUACGGGGGAUGCCUAGGGUCUCAGAGGCGAAGAAGGACGUGAUAAGCUGCGAUAAGCUGCGGGGAAGAGCACAUAUCUAUCAAUCCGCAGAUUUCCGAAUGGGGCAACCCUCUCCGGUGAAGCCGGAGAAUCCAUAUCAAAGGGUAUGGAGGCGAACGUGGGGAACUGAAACAUCUAAUUACCCACAGGAAGAGAAAACAAUAGUGAUUCCGCAAGUAGUGGCGAGCGAACGCGGAUAAGCCCAAACCGAUUAUGUUACGGCAUAGUCGGGGUUGUAGGACUGUUAUAAUUGAGAUAUUUUAAGUUGAAUGAUCUGGGAAGGUCAACCGUAGGGUGUGAGAGUCACGUAAACGUAAUAAAUAUUGAGAGGGCAGUAUCCUGAGUAGGGGGGGGACCGGAGAAAUCCCCUUUGAAUCCGGCGGCACCAUCCGCCAAGGCUAAAUACUCCUGAGACACCGAUAGUGAACCAGUACUGUGAAGGAAAGGUGAAAAGCACGGGGAGUACCCGGGUGAAAAGAACCUGAAACCGUACGCCUACAAGCGGUCGGAGCUUCGUGAUGAAGUGACGGCGUGCCUUUUGCAUAAUGAUCCUACGAGUUACGUUAGCGAGCGAGGUUAAGUUUUUAAGGAACGAAUCCGAAGCGAAAGCGAGUUUUAACAGGGCGUUAAGUUCGUUGACGUAGACGCGAAACCUGGUGAUCUACCCAUGGUCAGGUUGAAGGUUGGGUAAAACUAACUGGAGGACCGCACUGGUAAACGUUGAAAAGUUUUCAGAUGAACUGUGGGUAGGGGUGAAAGGCUAAUCAAACCGGGAAAUAGCUCGUACUCCCCGAAAUGUAUUUAGGUACAGCGUUUUGUUUAGUAUUAUAGAGGUAGAGCUACCGAUUGGAUGCGGGGGAGUCACAUCCUACCAAAUUCAGACGAACUCCGAAUGCUAUAAUAUAUACAGGGCAGUGAGGGUUUGGGUGCUAAGGUCCAAAUCCGAGAGGGAAAGAACCCAGAGCUACAGCUAAGGUCUCCAAAUCUAUACUAAGUUGAACAAAGGAAGUCUGACUGCCGAGACAGCCAGGAUGUUUGCUUGGAAGCAGCAAUUCAUUUAAAGAGUGCGUAACAGCUCACUGGUCGAGCGGGGCGGGCAUCGAUAAUAAGCGGGCAUAAAGUAUAGUACCGAAGCUUAGCCAAGAGAGAUCUUGGGUAGGGGAGCAUUCUGAUUACGGUGAAGGCAUUUUUUGAGAAGUGUUGGAGUGAUCAGAAAAGCAAAUGUAGGAAUAAGUAGCGAUAAUGAAUGUGAGAACCAUUCACACCGAAAGACUAAGGAUUCCUCCGCUAUGUCAAUCAACGGAGGGUAAGUCGGCCCCUAAGGAUAAUGCGAAAGCAGAGGCCGAUGGGAAGCAGGUUAAAAUUCCUGCACCGGUGCAUAUUACGAAACGGGGACGGAUUUUCGAGCUUAAUACGAACCGACGGAAAUGUUCGUUGAGGGGAGUCUUCGGACGAACCGAAUUAGGGGAGAAGGUUCCAAGAAAAGCCGGUAAGUUAUGGAUAUGCAGCGACCGUACCGUAAACCGACACAGGUAGUCGAGGCGAGAAGCCUAAGGUGCUCGAGUGAAUCACGGCUAAGGAACUAGGCAAAUUAACCCUGUAACUUCGGGAUAAAGGGAGCCUCAGCGAUGAGGCCGCAGAGAAAUGGCCCAGGCGACUGUUUAACAAAAACACAUGGCUAUGCGAAGAUUAAUGUCGACGUAUAUGGCCUGACACCUGCCCGGUGCCGGAAGGUUAAGAGGGGGUGUUACCGCAAGGGAAGCACUGAAUUGAAGCCCCGGUAAACGGCGGCCGUAACUAUAACGGUCCUAAGGUAGCGAAAUUCCUUGUCGGGUAAGUUCCGACCUGCACGAAUGGUGUAACGAUCUGGGCACUGUCUCAGCCGUGAGCUCGGCGAAAUUGUAGUGACGGUGAAGAUGCCGUCUACCCGCCACGGGACGGAAAGACCCCGUGAACCUUUACUAUAGCUUAGCGUUGUGACUGGAUAUUCGAUGUGUAGGAUAGGUGGGAGACUAUGAGUGGGCGUCGCCAGGCGUUCAGGAGUCACCGUUGAAAUACCACCCUUUGGAUAUUUGGUUUCUAACCUCGGAGAGGGACAUCGCUUGGUGGGUAGUUUGACUGGGGUGGUCGCCUCCAAAAGCGUAACGGAGGCUUCCAAAGGUUCUCUCAGCACGCUUGGUAACCGUGCGUUGAGUGCAAUAGCAAAAGAGAGCUUGACUGCAAGACCGACAAGUCGAGCAGGAUGGAAACAUGGGUAUAGUGAUCCGGUGGUUCUGAAUGGAAGGGCCAUCGCUCAAAGGAUAAAAGGUACUCCGGGGAUAACAGGCUGAUCUCCCCCAAGAGCUCAUAUCGACGGGGAGGUUUGGCACCUCGAUGUCGGCUCGUCACAUCCUGGGGCUGGAGAAGGUCCCAAGGGUUCGGCUGUUCGCCGAUUAAAGUGGCACGCGAGCUGGGUUCAGAACGUCGUGAGACAGUUCGGUCCCUAUCUGUGGUGGGCGUAGGAAGUUUGCGAGGGUCUGAUUUUAGUACGAGAGGACCGAAUUGGACAUACCUCUGGUGUAUCUGUUGUCUUGCCAAGGGCACGGCAGAGUAGCUAAGUAUGGUUAGGAUAAACGCUGAAAGCAUCUAAGUGUGAAACCGGCCUCAAGAUGAGACUUCCACAGAGGAACGUUAUAGACGAUGACGUAGAUAGGCUACAGGUGUAGAGGCAGUAAUGUCAAAGCCGAGUAGUACUAAUGAACCGAAAGCUCUUCAAU